UGAGUAACACGUGGGCAAUCUGCCCUGCACUUCGGGAUAAGCCUGGGAAACUGGGUCUAAUACCGGAUAGGACCUUUAGACGCAUGNCUUUUGGUGGAAAGCUUUUGCGGUGUGGGAUGGGCCCGCGGCCUAUCAGCUUGUUGGUGGGGUGAUGGCCUACCAAGGCGACGACGGGUAGCCGGCCUGAGAGGGUGUCCGGCCACACUGGGACUGAGAUACGGCCCAGACUCCUACGGGAGGCAGCAGUGGGGAAUAUUGCACAAUGGGCGCAAGCCUGAUGCAGCGACGCCGCGUGGGGGAUGACGGCCUUCGGGUUGUAAACCUCUUUCACCAUCGACGAAGGUCCGGGUUUUCUCGGAUUGACGGUAGGUGGAGAAGAAGCACCGGCCAACUACGUGCCAGCAGCCGCGGUAAUACGUAGGGUGCGAGCGUUGUCCGGAAUUACUGGGCGUAAAGAGCUCGUAGGUGGUUUGUCGCGUUGUUCGUGAAAUCUCACGGCUUAACUGUGAGCGUGCGGGCGAUACGGGCAGACUAGAGUACUGCAGGGGAGACUGGAAUUCCUGGUGUAGCGGUGGAAUGCGCAGAUAUCAGGAGGAACACCGGUGGCGAAGGCGGGUCUCUGGGCAGUAACUGACGCUGAGGAGCGAAAGCGUGGGGAGCGAACAGGAUUAGAUACCCUGGUAGUCCACGCCGUAAACGGUGGGUACUAGGUGUGGGUUUCCUUCCUUGGGAUCCGUGCCGUAGCUAACGCAUUAAGUACCCCCGCCUGGGGGAGUACGGGCCGCAAGGCUAAAACUCAAAAGGAAUUGACGGGGGGCCCGCACAA
RNAcentral lists this ribosomal RNA (826 nucleotides) under Mycobacterium sp. RNAcentral describes it as "bacterial SSU rRNA". It matches the Rfam family "Bacterial small subunit ribosomal RNA", at positions 107 to 928 of the family's 1533-position model. The record is from RNAcentral. Lineage: Bacteria; Bacillati; Actinomycetota; Actinomycetes; Mycobacteriales; Mycobacteriaceae.